AUUGAACGCUGGCGGCAGGCCUAACACAUGCAAGUCGAACGGUAACAGGAAGAAGCUUGCUUCUUUGCUGACGAGUGGCGGACGGGUGAGUAAUGUCUGGGAAACUGCCUGAUGGAGGGGGAUAACUACUGGAAACGGUAGCUAAUACCGCAUAAUGUCGCAAGACCAAAGAGGGGGACCUUCGGGCCUCUUGCCAUCGGAUGUGCCCAGAUGGGAUUAGCUAGUAGGUGGGGUAACGGCUCACCUAGGCGACGAUCCCUAGCUGGUCUGAGAGGAUGACCAGCCACACUGGAACUGAGACACGGUCCAGACUCCUACGGGAGGCAGCAGUGGGGAAUAUUGCACAAUGGGCGCAAGCCUGAUGCAGCUAUGCCGCGUGUAUGAAGAAGGCCUUCGGGUUGUAAAGUACUUUCAGCGGGGAGGAAGGGAGUAAAGUUAAUACCUUUGCUAAUUGACGUUACCCGCAGAAGAAGCACCGGCUAACUCCGUG
Molecule: ribosomal RNA, 490 nt
Filed under: uncultured bacterium
Lineage: Bacteria
Description: partial 16S ribosomal RNA
Rfam family: Bacterial small subunit ribosomal RNA
Source: RNAcentral